GAAUAUCAAUAAGUUCCAAUUGAAGAGCGGAUUCUUUUGCAAUUCAGGCAUGUGCCGGCGAUAACGGGCGAGUUGGCAUGAAGAGAGGCAGAGAUGGAUUAAUUAUGCAGAGAACAUGGAAAUUCUGCUUAUCAUCGGCUAGCAAAGGAGCCCGGCUCACAUAAUCAGCAAACGAAGGGAGAGGAAAAAAUAACAAUGCAAUGGCACCUUCCAGCCCAUCAUCAGGAUUUUUUCUACCCCCCUUGUAAUUAAAAAAUAACAUACACUUAUAGCCCUAUCUCCUGUGCAGGCAAGGAGUGGAUGUCCACAAAAUAAUUGCACUGGGAUAUUAGAGCUGGCAACAUGGGCUGUCCAUUCCUGCUUGCUUUCCCUCUCACCCUCUCUUUCUCUUUUGGCCUCUCAAGGCACUUUGCUUCUGAACUCAAUCCAAAUCAGAGGGAUGUCUCAGGUGACAUGCUAGCUCAGUUUCCAAAAAUCCCAAAUUGCUACCUUAUCAUGAUCCAAGCAAACAUACAUACAUAUAUGAUAAACAUUUGAAGAGCUGACUCUGGGGGAAGGCUUUGGAACUGAUCACCUGUGGACUAUCUGGUCAAUUUUGGCUUUUUUUGAUGAAACCCGUCCUAAUAACCUUCAUUUUACAAAGUGAUGAAAUGGUGAAAAUGGCUGUGUUCAUCUUCUCGAAUGAUUUCACUUACCUACAAGUUGUGGGCUCUAUCUCCUCUGCCGAUUCGUUUUAUGAAUUCAAGUAUAUGUAGUUAAUGAUUGCAGUGUUUGUGCCUCCAAAUCAGAGUUCACAAUUCUGCACUGUUACUGUAAAAUCUGACAGCUUAAUGCUCUGUAUUUCUCUAAAUGCCAAAAGAAGCUACAACGAACCUAGUUUAUUGCUUUAAAGAAAA
RNAcentral lists this long non-coding RNA (896 nucleotides) under Lynx pardinus (Iberian lynx). Lineage: Eukaryota; Metazoa; Chordata; Mammalia; Carnivora; Felidae. The record is from RNAcentral.